AUAAAAAAAUAAAUUUUUAAUUUUACAAUGAAAAAGUAAUGUUUUGUAUAAACUAUAUAAAUAAGAAAUA
This 70-nucleotide transfer RNA is filed under the name Xylobanus sp. VK-2011. RNAcentral's name for it is "tRNA-Gln". The record is from RNAcentral. Lineage: Eukaryota; Metazoa; Arthropoda; Insecta; Coleoptera; Lycidae.